Molecule: ribosomal RNA, 117 nt
Filed under: Peromyscus maniculatus bairdii (prairie deer mouse)
Lineage: Eukaryota; Metazoa; Chordata; Mammalia; Rodentia; Cricetidae
Source: RNAcentral
GUCUAUGGCCAUACCACCCUGAACGUGCCCGAUCUCGUCUGAUCUUGGGAGCUAAGCAGGGUCGGGCCUGGUUAGUACUUGGAUUGGGAGAAAUACAAACCCUGAAUUCGGUGGAGU